GGAAGGGUGGCCGAGUGGUUUAAGGCAAGAGUUUGCUAAACUCUGGCGCUGAUAAGGCGCCUCGUGGGUUCGAAUCCCACCCCUUCCG
RNAcentral lists this transfer RNA (88 nucleotides) under Candidatus Wolfebacteria bacterium. Its description in RNAcentral is "tRNA-Ser". It matches the Rfam family "tRNA". Rfam says of the family: Transfer RNA (tRNA) molecules are approximately 80 nucleotides in length. Their secondary structure includes four short double-helical elements and three loops (D, anti-codon, and T loops). The record is from RNAcentral. Lineage: Bacteria; Candidatus Wolfeibacteriota.